GUACUUGCUUCAGCAGCACAUAAACUAAAUUGGAACUAUUACAGAUAAGAUUAGCAUGGCCCCUGUGCAAGGAUGACAUGCAAAUUCUUGAGGCAUUCUCUAUUUUU
RNAcentral lists this small nuclear RNA (107 nucleotides) under Dasypus novemcinctus (nine-banded armadillo). The record is from RNAcentral. Lineage: Eukaryota; Metazoa; Chordata; Mammalia; Cingulata; Dasypodidae.